Molecule: long non-coding RNA, 3723 nt
Organism: Herpailurus yagouaroundi (jaguarundi)
Lineage: Eukaryota; Metazoa; Chordata; Mammalia; Carnivora; Felidae
Exons: 2
Source: RefSeq, a predicted model, not a curated record
AAUACUCCAUUGUAUAUAUACACCACAUCUUCUUUAAGUGAUUUCCAUUUCUUUAACUGUGAGGGCUCUUGGGUUGAUCCUUCGCAUGUUAGUAGCUACUUACAUUUCUUCUGUGAAUUUCUUGUUCAUAGAUUUUCUUUCUUUCUUCCCUCCCUGGCCCCCAUCUUUCUUUAGGGUUGUUGGGCCUUUUCUUAUUGAUUUGGAAGAGCUCAUUAUACAUUAAGGAAAGUGGUAAUUGCUACAUUUUACAUGUGUUUUUCCCUGGCCAUGAAAGAACUUUACUGGGUAAUUAAAUUUAUCAGUCUUUUCCUUAAAUACAUCUAGAUUUCUGUCAUGCUUUAAAAAGCCUAUCCCACCUUGAGAUUUUUUAAAAAUUUCCUACGUUUUUUUCAAAUUCUUGGGUAGGACUGUGAGCACCAGGAUGAGCUAGGCUGGGUCCAGGCCUUAGAUCUCUCCCACUUCCAGGAUAACUCUGCGCCUCACUUUGCUACUCAGGAAAGUAGGAGUAAGGGCACCUGCUUCAUAAAGUCAGGUUGCGUGUGUGCUUCUCACCUCACACUUUCGACCCAAAGAAGGUUAAAGGCUCCAGAUUCACCAGAAAGAUCAACUGGUGGCCCACUGGAGCAGGAGGCUAGAUGAGGUGGAUCCAGGAUCUUCCAACUUCAUGAAUGAGUGGUUUUCCUUGAGUCUGGUUCCAUUGUUGUUUCCUUCAUCAUUGAUUGUCGACCUCCCAGGAAAAGGACCAGUUGCGUUCUGAGGGCCAUCAAGCCCCAGAGAAAUAGCAGGUCCUUGGGAGUCUGUUAGGGGCUCAAUUAUGCCCCUCUUCAAAAGCCAUAUGGUAAAGUCCUAACUCCCAGGACCUCUGAACAUAAUGCUAUUUGGAGAUAGUGUCUUCAAAGUGGUAAUUCAAUUUAAAUGAGGUCAUGAGGUGGGCCCUAAUCCAAUAUGACUGGUGUCCUUAUAAGAAGAGGACAUUUGGACACAGACAUGGACAAAAGGAAGAUCAUGUGAAGACACAGGAGAAGACAGCCCUCGACAAGGCAGGGAGAGAGACCAGGAACAAAUCCUUCCCUCAGGGUUCUCAGAAGAAACCAGACCCGCUGACACCUUGAUCUUGAACUUCCAGCCUCCAGAACGUUGCCCUCCCGGAAAGACAGUAUGUGAGGCUUUGGGUUUGGACCGAGAUAAAAGCUGGAGGACAGGUGCUCAACCACAGCGUGAGGACCCUCCCUUCACCGGGUGUGGACAAGGACAUCCACGUGGACCUCCUGAAAGCUGCUUCCCCUACCGCAGACCCCUGGAGGCCCACUGACAGCUGUGGCAAGAACAGGUGUGGGGACACAGGAAGCUGGCAGCCCCCACAGCCCCGGGAUGGGUGGGCAGCACACAAGGGUGGACAGAGGUUAACGCGGGGAGGGGCGAUGGAGACGAGACAGUGUGGCCCCUGUUGUGAGAUUUCCGGUCCUCCCUCCCAGCUUGCCAAGGCCUCCUGUGGGUGCUGGUCAUGUCCCCAGAGCUGCCAGAAUGCUCCUGUGCCCGUCCCUCUUCCUCUGCCCCCUACAUGCUAUCUUCCUGGAUCCCAGACUGGGAGCAAACCAAACCAAGGGCAAGAAAGGGACCGUCAGGGAAAUCUGGGAAAGCUGGACUGUGGUUUCAGGGAUGGCGUUUAGGGUCCACAGGCUGGGGCAGCAACAUGUCUGAGUGGAGGACAAGCCUCCUGGCCAAGUUCAUGCUUGAGAGACUGUUGGUGCGUCCCUUUACUAUUCCUGCGGGCUCUGAUGAGGUUCCUCCACACUGGACAGGGUAGGGGGCCUUCUGCAAGAUGAAGACCCUACCGUCCAGUACACUUGGGCCUCUGCGUGGGUAGGGAUUCUUCCCCAGCCUUGAGGGCCUGCAGGUCCUCUACUCGGUACCCAGAGCUUAGCCAGGUUGGGAGUGGCAUGGUGGGGGGAUGUGCCAUUCACACUGUGAUUUGGCCCCAAGGCCCAGACAGGCCUGGGCGCUAUCCCCCACCCAUCUCUGCCCACCACGCAGGCCAUGUCUGCUAAUGAGCCAGCUGCCGAGGAGUGGCUCCCAGCAGCUGCCCUGGCCCAGCCAGGUGUGUGUGGCCUGGGGCGGGCAAAUAGCCGGGCAGGCCGGGCACCACUUGUAAAGCGUAAUAACCCAGUACAGCAGGAUAAUCGCCCCUUCCCAAGAGGCAGACGUGAUCUCAUUAGCAAUCAUACAGAAGGUUGGAAUAAGUCUCCAUGCUCUUUGGGGUGGGGGAGGCACUCAAAGCCAGGAAAACUGCACUGUCUGCUCCAGGUGCAAAUGGGACCAAGCUCCAAGUUUGGAGAAACAGUAGAGUGAUAGGCAGGGGGACUGGGCGUGCUUAACCAAGAUGGAGAAAAAGACUCGGGGCUCAGGGCUGGCAGGCCGCGCUCCCAGCUGGGAGACUGUUCUGCGUCCUCACCCAGAAUACCCUCCUUGGACCAAAUAAGCCCUCCUCUGCUGGGAAGAGCUCUUAUCCAGGCCAUCCUGUUACCCUCUCUCCUGUGUACUCACCUGGUACUCUCACCUGCACCUGCACGGAGUUGGAAGGAAAGAAUGGCCAACACCUCACUGCACAGGGGAGGCUCUAUAGUUUGUCCUGGGUUAUGUGGUCACCAGUGUCCCCUGCUUGGUCAACUUCUGUUCUCCUAAUAUCUUUCCUUUAUGCAGGGGGUUACAACCCUUUUUUGGGAUGCAUGGCCACUUGUGAGAACCUGGUGGAAACUACCAAAGUCUUCCCAGAUGAGCACAUGUAAAAAUAAAAUGCCGUAUCUUAUAUCUAGGAGUUAGUGGAUUCUCUGAAUCAGUUCGUGCAUGGAUAUUCCAAGCCAGUGAUUUCCAUAGUGUGCAUCAGGAUGAUCUGGGGCUUGUCAAAUCUAAGGAUGUACAGGCCUCACCAGCUGGACUGGGGUAUGACCAGCAAUCUUCACUUUGGCCAGGUCCCAGCUUGUUGGGAAACAGGUUCCAGAACUGCACUUUGAGAAACACUACUGGAUGAGGCCUUGAGGAACAAGUGAAGAUUCUGCUUCAAACCCAUCUCCGUUUGUCAUCUAUUCAGAUGUAUGGAUCUUGACAUCCCAAAGGAAGUUGCAAGCUCCCCAACAAAAGGGACGUCAUCUUAAAUCUUUCUGUAUCCAAGACCUCAACCAUUAAGGUCUCAUUAAGUGUCAAAACUCCUUAAGAUUCCUGGAGGAGGAGUCCCAGGAAAAUCUACAACCCAACCAACACGGGGAGACUUUGUUUCUUCUAUUACCAACCGUGUCAGGCAACGUUGCCUUGUUGUGAUACAAUAGGAUUCCUUCCCUUCUCCUCUAUUCAUCUACCAUUGGGGGCACUUAGCAACUGGGGUCUAUGUCUGGGAGAAGCAUCUUUGCACAGGUAGAGAUAGUCACCAGGGAUCCUGGCUUUCCCACCCCCAGGCUCCAGUGGCUGUGUGCAAGCUGCCAACUGAAAGGCGAUACGUGCGUCUUGGCAUUGUUACACCCCUGGGUUAGCUGGUUUGAAUUUGGAAUUCUAAUCUGAUUGACUAAGUAACUUUUACUCUAAUGAGAACAGUAGGGUUUGGUCUUAAUCUGCAACCAUUUAAUCUUCCGUCUCAUUAAUUGUACAAAGGUCUUUAUGAAUAUGUAGAUUGGGAAGGGAAUAAAAGAUUAUUUGACCUUGAAGAAACACGUAUAAAGUAGGUGAACACUC